RNAcentral lists this ribosomal RNA (502 nucleotides) under uncultured bacterium. RNAcentral's name for it is "partial 16S ribosomal RNA". It matches the Rfam family "Bacterial small subunit ribosomal RNA", at positions 28 to 507 of the family's 1533-position model. The record is from RNAcentral.
GACGAACGCUGGCGGCGUGCUUAACACAUGCAAGUCGAACGGUGAAGGGGUCUGCUUUUGUGGGCCCUGGAUGAGUGGCGAACGGGUGAGUAACACGUGAGUAACCUGCCCCCUUCUUCUGGAUAACCGCAUGAAAGUGUGGCUAAUACGGGAUAUUCUGGGUCUGUCGCAUGAUGGGUCUGGGAAAGAUUGCGCCUUUGGGUGUUUUUGGUGGGGGAUGGGCUCGCGGCCUAUCAGCUUGUUGGUGGGGUGAUGGCCUACCAAGGCGGUGACGGGUAGCCGGCCUGAGAGGGUGGACGGUCACACUGGGACUGAGACACGGCCCAGACUCCUACGGGAGGCAGCAGUGGGGAAUAGUGCACAAUGGGCGCAAGCCUGAUGCAGCGACGCCGCGUGAGGGAGGGAGGCCUUCGGGUUGUAAACCUCUUUCGCCAGUGAAGCAGGCCUGCUCCUUGUGGGUGGGUUGACGGUAGCUGGAGAAGAAGCGCCGGCUAACUACGUG